GGCAGUGGUAGCUCAGCGGUUAUGGUUUUUUGUCUACUGCGCUGAAGGUCAUGAGUUCAAAUCCCAGCCUUGUCA
Ameiurus melas (black bullhead) is the source of this 75-nucleotide non-coding RNA. The record is from the annotation of a GenBank genome assembly. Lineage: Eukaryota; Metazoa; Chordata; Actinopteri; Siluriformes; Ictaluridae.